AAGCACAAUUGUUUCAUUACCUCUUCAAGUGGCCUCAUCAAACGUGGUUCCACUAUUGGUCUCAAAGUACACCAAUCCCACAUAGCCUUAUCAAUCAAACAAGUGGACCAACCAAUAAAACCCCUACCUCUAUUUAAUGCAAACUCAAAACUAGCAUGGAUGUCAUCAUAGGCAAAGAGGUAGUAUAGGAAAUAAUCAAGUAUAAAGACAUGUACGGGUGAAGACAAAGCAUUUAAGC
This 238-nucleotide long non-coding RNA is filed under the name Capsicum annuum. RNAcentral describes it as "long non-coding RNA (CANN_LNC019115)". Lineage: Eukaryota; Viridiplantae; Streptophyta; Magnoliopsida; Solanales; Solanaceae. The record is from RNAcentral.